Molecule: ribosomal RNA, 443 nt
Filed under: uncultured bacterium
Lineage: Bacteria
Description: partial 16S ribosomal RNA
Rfam family: Bacterial small subunit ribosomal RNA
Source: RNAcentral
CCUACGGGGGGCAGCAGUGGGGAAUAUUGGGCAAUGGGCGCAAGCCUGACCCAGCAACGCAGCGUGAAGGAAGAAGGCUUUCGGGUUGGAAACCUCUUUUCUGAGGGAAGUAGAAAGUGACGGUACCUCAGGAAUAAGCCACGGCUAACUACGUGCCAGCAGCCGCGGUACUACGUAGGUGGCAAGCGUUAUCCGGAUUUAUUGGGUUUAAAGGGGGUGUAGGCGGGAAAGCAAGUCAGAUGUGAAAACUCAGGGCUCAACCCUGGGCCUGCAUUUGAAACUGUUUUUCUUGAGUGCUGGAGAGGCAAUCGGAAUUCCGUGUGUAGCGGUGAAAUGCGUAGAUAUACGGAGGAACCCCAGUGGCGAAGGCGGCUUGCUGGACAGUAACUGACGCUGAGGCGCGAAAGCGUGGGGAGCAAACAGGAUUAGAUACCCCAGUAGUC